UACGAAGGGGGCUAGCGUUGUUCGGAAUUACUGGGCGUAAAGCGCGCGCAGGCGGUCUUCCAAGUCAGUGGUGAAAGCCUGGAGCUCAACUCCAGAACUGCCAUUGAAACUGUUAGACUUGAGUACGAGAGAGGUGAGUGGAAUUCCCAGUGUAGGGGUGAAAUUCGUAGAUAUUGGGAAGAGCACCGGUGGCGAAGGCGGCACACUGGCUCGUAACUGACGCUCAGGCGCGAGAGCGUGGGGAUCAAACAGG
This 253-nucleotide ribosomal RNA is filed under the name uncultured bacterium. RNAcentral's name for it is "partial 16S ribosomal RNA". It matches the Rfam family "Bacterial small subunit ribosomal RNA", at positions 524 to 776 of the family's 1533-position model. The record is from RNAcentral.